Molecule: ribosomal RNA, 253 nt
Filed under: uncultured bacterium
Lineage: Bacteria
Description: partial 16S ribosomal RNA
Rfam family: Bacterial small subunit ribosomal RNA
Source: RNAcentral
UACGUAGGGUGCAAGCGUUGUCCGGAAUUAUUGGGCGUAAAGAGCUCGUAGGCGGUCUGUCGCGUCGGCUGUGAAAUCCCGAGGCUCAACCUCGGGUCUGCAGUCGAUACGGGCAAACUAGAGUGUUGCAGGGGAGACUGGAAUUCCUGGUGUAGCGGUGAAAUGCGCAGAUAUCAGGAGGAACACCGAUGGCGAAGGCAGGUCUCUGGGCCACUACUGACGCUGAGAAGCGAAAGCAUGGGGAGCGAACAGG